ACUCAAAGGAAUUGACGGGGGCUCACACAAGCGGUGGAGCAUGUGGCUUAAUUCGAAGCAACGCGCAGAACCUUACCAGGGCUUGACAUGUACGGAUUAGUGGGGUGAAAGCCUCAUGACGCUCGCAAGAGUGGAACGUACACAGGUGCUGCAUGGCUGUCGUCAGCUCGUGCUGUGAAGUGUCGCGUUAAGUCGCUUAACGAGCGAAACCCUUAUCCUUAGUUGCCAGCGGGUCAUGCCGGGAACUCUAGGGAGACUGCCGGUGUUAAACCGGAGGAAGGUGGGGAUGACGUCAAGUCCUCAUGGCCUUUAUGCCCUGGGUUGCACACGUGCUACAAUGGCGUAUACAAAGCGACGCAAGCCAGCGAUGGCAAGCAAAUCGCCUAAAGUACGCCCCAGUUCAGAUCGCAGGCUGCAACCCGCCUGCGUGAAGUUGGAAUCGCUAGUAAUCGCGGAUCAGCUACGCCGCGGUGAAUAUGUUCCUGAGCCUUGUACACACCGCCCGU
RNAcentral lists this ribosomal RNA (506 nucleotides) under uncultured bacterium. RNAcentral describes it as "partial 16S ribosomal RNA". It matches the Rfam family "Bacterial small subunit ribosomal RNA", at positions 899 to 1397 of the family's 1533-position model. The record is from RNAcentral.